This 501-nucleotide ribosomal RNA is filed under the name uncultured bacterium. Its description in RNAcentral is "bacterial SSU rRNA". It matches the Rfam family "Bacterial small subunit ribosomal RNA", at positions 28 to 521 of the family's 1533-position model. The record is from RNAcentral.
GAUGAACGCUAGCGGGAGGCUUAACACAUGCAAGUCGAGGGGCAUCACGAGGUAGCAAUACUUUGGUGGCGACCGGCGCACGGGUGAGUAACACGUAUGCAACCUUCCCUGUACAGGGGGAUAACCCGGAGAAAUUCGGACUAAUACCCCAUGAUGAUAUUUAUGGGCAUCCAUUAAUAUUUAAAGCUCUGGCGGUACAGGAUGGGCAUGCGCGACAUUAGCUAGUUGGUAAGGUAACGGCUUACCAAGGCCACGAUGUUUAGGGGACCUGAGAGGGUUGUCCCCCACACUGGUACUGAGACACGGACCAGACUCCUACGGGAGGCAGCAGUGAGGAAUAUUGGUCAAUGGGCGCAAGCCUGAACCAGCCAUCCCGCGUGAAGGAAGAAUGCGCUACGCGUUGUAAACUUCUUUUCCAGGGGGAGAAUAAUCCUGUCGUGACAGGACUUGACGGUACUCUGGGAAUAAGCAUCGGCUAACUCCGUGCCAGCUAGCCGCGGU